Molecule: non-coding RNA, 125 nt
Organism: Hordeum vulgare subsp. vulgare (domesticated barley)
Lineage: Eukaryota; Viridiplantae; Streptophyta; Magnoliopsida; Poales; Poaceae
Source: Rfam
AAUGUACUCCCUCCGUCCCAAAUUACUUGUCACAAAAACGAAUAUAAAUGGAUGUAUCUAGAACUAAAAUACAUCUAGAUACAUGCAUGUUUCAGACAAGUAUUUUCGGACGGAGGGAGUAAAUU